This 384-nucleotide ribosomal RNA is filed under the name Paraplatypeza atra. RNAcentral describes it as "partial 16S ribosomal RNA". Lineage: Eukaryota; Metazoa; Arthropoda; Insecta; Diptera; Platypezidae. The record is from RNAcentral.
UCGAAGGUAGCAUAAUCAGUAGUCUUUUAAUUGAAGGCUUGUAUGAAUGGUUGGACGAAAUAUUAACUGUUUCAUUUAAAAUUUUUAUAGAAUUUUAUUUUUUAGUCAAAAAGCUAAAAUAUUAUUAAAAGACGAGAAGACCCUAUAAAUCUUGAUAUUUAUAUUAAUUUUAAUUAUAAAGAUUAAUUAAAUUAUAAUUGAUAAAAAUAUUUUAUUGGGGUGAUAUUAAAAUUUAUAAAACUUUUAAUUAUUUUUUACCAUUAAUUUAUGAAUAAAUGAUCCAUUAAUAAUGAUUAAAAAUUUAAGUUACUUUAGGGAUAACAGCGUAAUUUUUUUGGAGAGUUCAUAUUGAUAAAAAAGAUUGCGACCUCGAUGUUGGAUUAA